CGUAUUUCCGCAAUAAGAGCAUAUAUAAACCCUGUUGAGAGUUGAGACAGACUAUAUGUUGGUUUUGGUUUUAGUUUUGUGUUCCGCAAGUUGAAGUAUUAUUUGAAAGGUAAGCUUUUGUAUUUUACCGUUUGGUACUGUGGUUAUAUGAUAUAUUGAUUCAGGUAUAGAUCUCAUUAAGCCAGUAUCGUGCAACAGAUGAUGGUCAACCUGCAGUUCUCAGAGUGAGAAAAUGUUCAUUCUUUUAUUGUAUAUAGUAGUCUUGUACUUGGUGGUGAAUAAAUAGAAUCGAGAAAUGUAGUUUACUUGCUCUUUUAAGUGUCAACAUUACUGAAGUUAGCCAUGUUUGGCUUCACUCUUUGCAUGGACUCGAGUUGUCGCUCCAGAAACAUAUGGAGCUCACUGCUCCAGACUUUGAUCGGAGCGUUCCAGCUACAUGAUAGUGUUGGGAAAGCAUUAAGCUACGUUUACACGCUUCGAUUUGUCGGGCCGAUUUUGGUAAAUAAUCGAUGCCCCUUCUUCGACAUUUAGCGAUUUAAACGUUCAAUUGAGGCUGUCCGCUCUCUCGUCUGUUCAUGUUAUAGUUAUCUGCGUGCGAAAAGUUUUCAACAACUUUACAACGGAAGAAAAAUCGUUGAAUCGUGAGAAAAAUCUGUGGUUUUGUUACAGUUUUUCUCCCGAUUUUGUGAAUCGCAAGGUGCUGACGCGAGUACUGACGACAGGUUAUUUACAUACAGCGAGCAAAAUCGGCCCGACAAAUCGCAGCGUGUAAACGUACCUUAAGACUGACAGCUAACCAAAGGCGCAUGACUGUCAACUCUCAUCCUCGUUUCAUCCGCGCUCAAUGUUUCUCAGAAGGCUUUGGAUUUUUCUUAUUAUUUGCAUUAGCUACCAACACUGGCACAGACAGUUUCCCAAGAUCAAUGUUUUUUUCUACAAUUUAUAGAUAAAAUUCAGUUGUGGAAUUAUCAUGAAGACUUUUGCUAUUGUUGUUUUGGCUUUCAUUGUUGCUUUUGGCAACUGCGCAGAUCCUACAGAGGAAAACGAAGUAAAUCGUAAGUAAUAUCAGGUCGAUUUCUAUAACUACAAUCAUCUUCAAAUGUAUUUUUUUCUGUCUUGGUGUACAAUGUACUAGGUGAAUAUAUGAUCCUUGUGAUGUUACUCUGAGUGUAGAUCCACACCGGGCAAGAUCAGUUGGCAGAGCAUUGGGCUAGUAUUCCAAAGGUCGUAGUUUCGAUUCCCACCGUGGCCAAAGCAUCAGAUUCAAAUGUGUUGGAACAGAUGCCCCUAUAUUAUUAUGACAAACUUUGAUCCCCCCGCCCCCUUUUCUGUGGUCGGGUAAACAACAUUGAAUGAGAAGGGAGUUAUAAAUGUUUAUAAUAAUUUGCAUAUAUCCAGUGAUGAACUAAAACCACAAAUGUCCCAACAACUUUUGAAAAUGAUUGCUACCUAAAUCAUAAUCCCAACCCUUAAAUACUAAUCUCAAACCUAACCAUAAUCGUAAUCUUAACUAUAUAAUCCAGAUCUCACAAUUUCAUCUAAUCUUAAACCUGGUUUACACUAUCAAAGUUUCUGUGAUCACAGUAGGAAUUUUGCAUCGGUAAAUUCUAAGUUUUGAAGGAUUUGUAAGAAAUGUUUGAGGAAACUGACUCACUGUUUAACACUGAGUUAGUUUCCUCAAACAUUUCUUACAAAUCCUUCAAAACUUAAAAUUUACCCAUGCAAAAUUCCGACUGUGAUCACAGAAACUUUGAUAGUGUAAACCUGCCUUUAUAGUGAUGUAUAGUCUAUUUGUCAUAAUUGCGUUCCAUUCUAUUUCAACAGGUAAAACGUUCUGCGAUUGGCCUGAUUGCACAUGUUAUUACUACAAGGAUCCUUGCCCACAAGGAUACUGGGAUUGCCCUUCAACGAAAUAUUGUACUCUGCGAACCAACAAACCUUGCUGCCACAAUUAACACAGAAACAGAAGCUUAAUGGACAAUUAAUUAAUAUCAACGUUGGGCCUUCAUGGAACAGUAUAAUUAAAUUUGGUGUUAUAGAACUAUUGCGUAAAAAUGCAUGGGGUUUUUCCAUGAGAUAUAAUAAUUGUAAUGAUUUUUGAAUCGGUUUGCUUGCUAAUAAAUGUAGUCUUGUACGCUGU
Molecule: non-coding RNA, 2140 nt
Organism: Paramuricea clavata
Lineage: Eukaryota; Metazoa; Cnidaria; Anthozoa; Malacalcyonacea; Plexauridae
Source: the annotation of a GenBank genome assembly